GGGUUGUGAGGUUAAGCGACUAAGCGUACACGGUGGAUGCCCUGGCAGUCAGAGGCGAUGAAGGACGUGCUAAUCUGCGAAAAGCGUCGGUAAGGUGAUAUGAACCGUUAUAACCGGCGAUGUCCGAAUGGGGAAACCCAGUGCAAUUCGUUGCACUAUCGUUAACUGAAUACAUAGGUUAACGAGGCGAACCGGGGGAACUGAAACAUCUAAGUACCCCGAGGAAAAGAAAUCAACCGAGAUUCCCCCAGUAGCGGCGAGCGAACGGGGAGCAGCCCAGAGUCUGAAUCAGCUUGUGUGUUAGUGGAACGGUCUGGAAAGUCCGACGGUACAGGGUGAUAGUCCCGUACACCAAAAUGCACAGGUUGUGAACUCGAAGAGUAGGGCGGGACACGUGGUAUCCUGUCUGAAUAUGGGGGGACCAUCCUCCAAGGCUAAAUACUCCUGACUGACCGAUAGUGAACCAGUACCGUGAGGGAAAGGCGAAAAGAACCCCGGCGAGGGGAGUGAAAAAGAACCUGAAACCGUGUACGUACAAGCAGUGGGAGCACCUUCGGGUGUGACUGCGUACCUUUUGUAUAAUGGGUCAGCGACUUAUAUUCUGUAGCAAGGUUAACCGUAUAGGGGAGCCGCAGGGAAACCGAGUCUUAACUGGGCGUUAAGUUGCAGGGUAUAGACCCGAAACCCGGUGAUCUAGCCAUGGGCAGGUUGAAGGUUGGGUAACACUAACUGGAGGACCGAACCGACUAAUGUUGAAAAAUUAGCGGAUGACUUGUGGCUGGGGGUGAAAGGCCAAUCAAACCGGGAGAUAGCUGGUUCUCCCCGAAAGCUAUUUAGGUAGCGCCUCGUGAACUCAUCUUCGGGGGUAGAGCACUGUUUCGGCUAGGGGGUCAUCCCGACUUACCAACCCGAUGCAAACUACGAAUACCGAAGAAUGUUAUCACGGGAGACACACGGCGGGUGCUAACGUCCGUCGUGAAGAGGGAAACAACCCAGACCGCCAGCUAAGGUCCCAAAGUCAUGGUUAAGUGGGAAACGAUGUGGGAAGGCACAGACAGCCAGGAUGUUGGCUUAGAAGCAGCCAUCAUUUAAAGAAAGCGUAAUAGCUCACUGGUCGAGUCGGCCUGCGCGGAAGAUGUAACGGGGCUAAACCAUGCACCGAAGCUGCGGCAGCGACACUAUGUGUUGUUGGGUAGGGGAGCGUUCUGUAAGCCUGCGAAGGUGUGCUGUGAGGCAUGCUGGAGGUAUCAGAAGUGCGAAUGCUGACAUAAGUAACGAUAAAGCGGGUGAAAAGCCCGCUCGCCGGAAGACCAAGGGUUCCUGUCCAACGUUAAUCGGGGCAGGGUGAGUCGACCCCUAAGGCGAGGCCGAAAGGCGUAGUCGAUGGGAAACAGGUUAAUAUUCCUGUACUUGGUGUUACUGCGAAGGGGGGACGGAGAAGGCUAUGUUAGCCGGGCGACGGUUGUCCCGGUUUAAGCAUGUAGGCUGAUUGUCCAGGCAAAUCCGGAUAAUCAAGGCUGAGGUGUGAUGACGAGGCACUACGGUGCUGAAGUAACAAAUGCCCUGCUUCCAGGAAAAGCCUCUAAGCAUCAGGUAACAUCAAAUCGUACCCCAAACCGACACAGGUGGUCAGGUAGAGAAUACCAAGGCGCUUGAGAGAACUCGGGUGAAGGAACUAGGCAAAAUGGUGCCGUAACUUCGGGAGAAGGCACGCUGGUGUGUAGGUGAAGCCCCUGCGGGUGGAGCUGAGACCAGUCGAAGAUACCAGCUGGCUGCAACUGUUUAUUAAAAACACAGCACUGUGCAAACACGAAAGUGGACGUAUACGGUGUGACGCCUGCCCGGUGCCGGAAGGUUAAUUGAUGGGGUUAUCCGUAAGGAGAAGCUCUUGAUCGAAGCCCCGGUAAACGGCGGCCGUAACUAUAACGGUCCUAAGGUAGCGAAAUUCCUUGUCGGGUAAGUUCCGACCUGCACGAAUGGCGUAAUGAUGGCCAGGCUGUCUCCACCCGAGACUCAGUGAAAUUGAACUCGCUGUGAAGAUGCAGUGUACCCGCGGCAAGACGGAAAGACCCCGUGAACCUUUACUAUAGCUUGACACUGAACAUUGAGCCUUGAUGUGUAGGAUAGGUGGGAGGCUUUGAAGCGUGGACGCCAGUCUGCGUGGAGCCAACCUUGAAAUACCACCCUUUAAUGUUUGAUGUUCUAACGUUGGCCCCUUACCGGGGUUGCGGACAGUGUCUGGUGGGUAGUUUGACUGGGGCGGUCUCCUCCCAAAGCGUAACGGAGGAGCACGAAGGUUAGCUAAUCCUGGUCGGACAUCAGGAGGUUAGUGCAAUGGCAUAAGCUAGCUUGACUGCGAGCGUGACGGCGCGAGCAGGUGCGAAAGCAGGUCAUAGUGAUCCGGUGGUUCUGAAUGGAAGGGCCAUCGCUCAACGGAUAAAAGGUACUCCGGGGAUAACAGGCUGAUACCGCCCAAGAGUUCAUAUCGACGGCGGUGUUUGGCACCUCGAUGUCGGCUCAUCACAUCCUGGGGCUGAAGUAGGUCCCAAGGGUAUGGCUGUUCGCCAUUUAAAGUGGUACGCGAGCUGGGUUUAGAACGUCGUGAGACAGUUCGGUCCCUAUCUGCCGUGGGCGCUGGAGAAUUGAGGGGGGCUGCUCCUAGUACGAGAGGACCGGAGUGGACGCAUCACUGGUGUUCGGGUUGUCAUGCCAAUGGCACUGCCCGGUAGCUAAAUGCGGAAGAGAUAAGUGCUGAAAGCAUCUAAGCACGAAACUUGCCCCGAGAUGAGUUCUCCCUGAGACUUUAAGUCUCCUGAAGGAACGUUAAAGACGAUGACGUUGAUAGGCCGGGUGUGUAAGCGCAGCGAUGCGUUGAGCUAACCGGUACUAAUGAACCGUGAGGCUUAACCUUACAACGCCGAAG
This 2923-nucleotide ribosomal RNA is filed under the name Klebsiella pneumoniae. RNAcentral describes it as "23S ribosomal RNA". It matches the Rfam family "Bacterial large subunit ribosomal RNA". Lineage: Bacteria; Pseudomonadati; Pseudomonadota; Gammaproteobacteria; Enterobacterales; Enterobacteriaceae. The record is from RNAcentral.